UGGGGAAUAUUGCACAAUGGGCGAAAGCCUGAUGCAGCGACGCCGCGUGAGGGAUGACGGCCUUCGGGUUGUAAACCUCUUUCAGCAGGGACGAAGCGCAAGUGACGGUACCUGCAGAAGAAGCACCGGCUAACUACGUGCCAGCAGCCGCGGUAAUACGUAGGGUGCAAGCGUUGUCCGGAAUUACUGGGCGUAAAGAGUUCGUAGGCGGUUUGUCGCGUCGUUUGUGAAAACCAGCAGCUCAACUGCUGGCUUGCAGGCGAUACGGGCAGACUUGAGUACUGCAAGGGAGACUGGAAUUCCUGGUGUAGCGGUGAAAUGCGCAGAUAUCAGGAGGAACACCGGUGGCGAAGGCGGGUCUCUGGGCAGUAACUGACGCUGAGGAACGAAAGCGUGGGUAGCGAACAGG
Molecule: ribosomal RNA, 409 nt
Filed under: bacterium
Lineage: Bacteria
Description: partial 16S ribosomal RNA
Rfam family: Bacterial small subunit ribosomal RNA
Source: RNAcentral